Molecule: ribosomal RNA, 227 nt
Filed under: uncultured bacterium
Lineage: Bacteria
Description: partial 16S ribosomal RNA
Rfam family: Bacterial small subunit ribosomal RNA
Source: RNAcentral
CGUAACACGUAAGCGACCUACCUCGAUGUGGGGCAUAGCCGGCCUAACGGCCGGGUAAUUCCGCAUGUGAUCCUUGAGGGGCAUACCUUGGGGAUGAAACCAGUAAUGGGCAUUGAGAGGGGCUUGCGGCCUAUCAGCUUGUUGGCGAGGUAACGGCUCACCAAGGCUACGACGGGUAGCUGGUCUGAGAGGAUGGCCAGCCACAUUGGGACUGAGAAACGGCCCAG